This is a non-coding RNA of Schistosoma haematobium, 45 nucleotides long. Lineage: Eukaryota; Metazoa; Platyhelminthes; Trematoda; Strigeidida; Schistosomatidae. The record is from Rfam.
AUUCAACUGACGAGUCUCAAAUAGAACGAAACACUCGUUUUGGAU